RNAcentral lists this ribosomal RNA (382 nucleotides) under bacterium enrichment culture DGGE gel band MRS5. RNAcentral's name for it is "bacterial SSU rRNA". It matches the Rfam family "Bacterial small subunit ribosomal RNA", at positions 959 to 1342 of the family's 1533-position model. The record is from RNAcentral.
ACGCGAAGAACCUUACCAGGUCUUGACAUACUCGUGCUAUCCUUAGAGAUAAGGAGUUCCUUCGGGACACGGGAUACAGGUGGUGCAUGGUUGUCGUCAGCUCGUGUCGUGAGAUGUUGGGUUAAGUCCCGCAACGAGCGCAACCCUUAUUACUAGUUGCCAUCAUUAAGUUGGGCACUCUAGUGAGACUGCCGGUGAUAAACCGGAGGAAGGUGGGGAUGACGUCAAAUCAUCAUGCCCCUUAUGACCUGGGCUACACACGUGCUACAAUGGAUGGUACAACGAGUCGCCAACCCGCGAGGGUGCGCUAAUCUCUUAAAACCAUUCUCAGUUCGGAUUGCAGGCUGCAACUCGCCUGCAUGAAGUCGGAAUCGCUAGUAAU